This 459-nucleotide ribosomal RNA is filed under the name uncultured bacterium. RNAcentral describes it as "partial 16S ribosomal RNA". It matches the Rfam family "Bacterial small subunit ribosomal RNA", at positions 338 to 795 of the family's 1533-position model. The record is from RNAcentral.
CCUACGGGGGGCUGCAGUGAGGAAUAUUGGUCAAUGGGCGCGAGACUGAACCAGCCAAGUCGCGUGAGGGAAGACGGUCCUAUGGAUUGUAAACCUCUUUUGUCGGGGAACAAAAGACGCCACGCGUGGCCUUCCGAGAGUACCCGAAGAAAAAGCAUCGGCUAACUCCGUGCCAGCAGCCGCGGUAAUACGGAGGAUGCGAGCGUUAUCCGGAUUUAUUGGGUUUAAAGGGUGCGCAGGCGGAAGAUCAAGUCAGCGGUAAAAUUGAGGGGCUCAACCUCUUCGAGCCGUUGAAACUGGUUUUCUUGAGUGAGCGAGAAGUAUGCGGAAUGCGUGGUGUAGCGGUGAAAUGCAUAGAUAUCACGCAGAACUCCGAUUGUGAAGGCAGCAUACCGGCGCUAAACUGACGCUCAUGCACGAAAGUGUGGGUAUCGAACAGGAUUAGAUACCCGGGUAGUC